Molecule: ribosomal RNA, 484 nt
Filed under: uncultured bacterium
Lineage: Bacteria
Description: partial 16S ribosomal RNA
Rfam family: Bacterial small subunit ribosomal RNA
Source: RNAcentral
AUUGAACGCUGGCGGCAGGCCUAACACAUGCAAGUCGAGCGGAUGAAGGGAGCUUGCUCCUGGAUUCAGCGGCGGACGGGUGAGUAAUGCCUAGGAAUCUGCCUGGUAGUGGGGGAUAACGUCCGGAAACGGGCGCUAAUACCGCAUACGUCCUGAGGGAGAAAGUGGGGGAUCUUCGGACCUCACGCUAUCAGAUGAGCCUAGGUCGGAUUAGCUAGUUGGUGGGGUAAAGGCCUACCAAGGCGACGAUCCGUAACUGGUCUGAGAGGAUGAUCAGUCACACUGGGACUGAGAAACGGUCCAGGAUCCUACGGGAGGCAGCCGUUGGGGAUUUUGGGCAUUGGGCGAAGGCCUGAUCAAGCCAUGAAGCGUGGGUGAAGAAGGUUUUAGGAUUUUAAAGCAUUUUAAGUUGGGAGGAAGGGCAGUAAGUUAAUACCUUGCUGUUUGAACGUUACCAACAGAAUAAGCACCGGCUAGCUUCAUG